UCCAAGAUGGCCGCCCUGGCACCCUCUGACUGGCUGAGGCGGGUGGCCUCCCCCAAGAUGGCCGCCCCCAAAAUGGCCGCUGGAGGGCCUAAGAUGGCCGCCUGGAGGCUGUUAGUGACGUCAGAGGUGUGUGGCAGGGCCCUGUGAUGUCACAUCCGGUGGCCAUGUUGAAUGCGGUGAUGUCAGAGGAAGCGGCCACCACCUGGAGGCUGGUGAUGUCAGAGGUGGCAGCCAUCUUGAAUGCCGUGAUGUCAGAAGAGCGGCCAUCUUGAGCCACGUGACGUCAGAGCUGGCGGCCAUCUUGUUCCCAGUGGGCAUUGGGACUGGCAGCCAUCUUGAAUGCAGUGAUGUCAGAAGAGGCGGCCAUCUUGAACCCUGUGAUGUCAGACCUGGUGGCCAUCUUGCUCCCAGUGGGUGCCAGGCCUGGCGGCCAUCUUGCCUCAACCUCAUCUCAGCGGCGUCCUCUUCGUCCUGCCCAUGUCGGCCAUCUUGGCCCCAGCAAUCGCUGCUGCCGGUGGCCAUCUUGCUCUCAGUGGGCACGGAUCCAGCAGCCAUCUUGGCUUCAGCAACCGGCAGCCAUCUUGGCUCCAGACAGCGCAGGACGUGGCAGCCAUCUUGCUCCCAACACACAUCCGCCUUGGCGGCCAUCUUGGCUCCAACGGACACCCGGGCUGGCGGCCAUCUUGAACCAGGCUGCAGUGACUCCUUGGCAGCCAUCUUAACCCACGUGGACCCCCAGGCCGGCGGCCAUCUUGGCCCCAUGCAACCCGGCGGCCAUCUUGACUCCAGCGGCCGUCGGAGCCGGCGGCCAUCUUGCCCCCCGGCGCCUCCGCCCGCCUGGCGGCCAUCUCGUCCCUCCCGGCGGCCAUCUUGCGGCGGGAGCCGGCGUCCCUCGGAGGGGGGGCGUGGGCGGGGGCCCCGGGGGGGCCGUUUUUUACCCGUGUACAUUGGCGGGGGCGCGGCCCCCUGUACAGCCCCAUGUAAAAUAGGUUCCUUUUCAACACGAUCUAUGCAAAGGUGCUUUGUGCCGGGCUGGGGGGGGACCCCGGUGGGGUUUGGGGGGUGGGGGGCGUUGUUAGGGUGGGGGGGGAGAUUUUGGGGGGGUGGGGGGGGGGUCCCGGCCCCCCCCCCCCCCCCCCCCCUUCCGGUGUGGGGCACCGUGUACAGGCGGCGGCUGUAAGCUUUCCUCUGCGGGAGAACGCGAUGAAUAAAGGGUUAAAAACGGAGAGUUUUGGGGGGGGG
This 1242-nucleotide long non-coding RNA is filed under the name Anser brachyrhynchus (Pink-footed goose). Its description in RNAcentral is "lncRNA (ENSABRG00000001011.1)". Lineage: Eukaryota; Metazoa; Chordata; Aves; Anseriformes; Anatidae. The record is from RNAcentral.